CGUAACUGUUCAACCCUGUCCCCCACUUCUGAUAUUCUGGAGAAUUGGCGAGAAUAAAAGGGGGGAUUUUUUUCCUUCCUUUUUCUCUUGCCGAGGGAAGCCCGCCGCCAUUUUGGAUUGCGUAGCUGUUUUGCAAAAUCCGAGGGAAGGAGAAAGGAGGAAUGCUUGUUAGUCUUCAUAGGGAUAUCAAGAUGAUGGUUCAAUCUUGUAUGUUAACGGCACCCGAAGGCCCUCCUUAAGCAGUCGACGACUUGUGACGAGAAAUUGUCAUUCGUGGCCAGAAGCGUCGAGGAAGCUUGGCUUGACUUAAUUGGAACCGAUGCCAGGAAAUCGUUCUCUCCAAGAUAUCUGGACUGGCGUUGUCUUCUUAUCUACAAAGGCCCUCCAUCUCUCUCCUUGUCUUAUCGAACGUCGAGUGUCUAAGAAUACACGAGUGAUUCAAAGGGCAGACUUUUACAAAUGCGUCUAAUUUGUCCACCCGAGUAGGCGAGAGUUCUAAUUAGGUGUGGACAAGCUGCGGAGAGACCAAAAGAAUUCACCAUCCUCUCUUCUGAAGCUAACGGCACUCUCCGAUACCGUGUGCCAAAGUGCAUUAGGCAGAUAACAAGAAGUACCGAAUUAAUUUACUAGAGCGACGCUAAGAGAGCACCAAAGAGGGUGCAUCUGAAAACCGUAAGGAAUUCUUCAAUGAAGAUAAAUAAUUCAAGACUCACUGUGAUUACAAUUGAUACAUGCCAUUCAACAUUUACACUCAAUGAAGGUUAAUGAUCAUUCUCAAUAAAGAAUGAAACGAAACAAAUAAAAAAUGUAGACUUAACGUCAAGGAACAAGAAUUCAACAAACUCAACAUGAACCCUCGAUUCUAAAGGCACACCGAUUGAAAAUUGUUAAUCGGCUCAGGUCCGUUCCCCGAUCUCAAAAUGCAGGUCACGUUCAAAAAGCUGUACAGCGGUUCCCCUUUAAUAAAAUUGCGGAGAAUCCCCCCGCCGACUUUAA
Orussus abietinus is the source of this 996-nucleotide long non-coding RNA. RefSeq lists it as uncharacterized. The transcript has 2 exons. The record is from RefSeq and is a predicted model, not a curated record. Lineage: Eukaryota; Metazoa; Arthropoda; Insecta; Hymenoptera; Orussidae.